Molecule: ribosomal RNA, 465 nt
Filed under: uncultured bacterium
Lineage: Bacteria
Description: partial 16S ribosomal RNA
Rfam family: Bacterial small subunit ribosomal RNA
Source: RNAcentral
GACGAACGCUGGCGGCGUGCUUAACACAUGCAAGUCGAACGGAAAGGCCCCUUUGGGGGUACUCGAGUGGCGAACGGGUGAGUAACACGUGAGUAACCUGCCCUUGACUUCGGGAUAACUUCAGGAAACUGGGGCUAAUACCGGAUAGGAAUCCUUGCUGCAUGGUGGGGGUUGGAAAGCUUCGGCGGUUUUGGAUGGACUGGCGGCUUAUCAGCUUGUUGGUGGGGUAGUGGCUUACCAAGGCUUUGACGGGAAGCCGGCCUGGGAGGGCGACCGGCCACAUUGGGACUGAGAUACGGCCCAGACUCCUACGGGAGGCAGCAGUGGGGAAUAUUGCACAAUGGGCGGAAGCCUGAUGCAGAAACGCCGCGUACGGGAUGACGGCCUUCGGGUUGUAAACCGCUUUCAGCAGGGGCGAAGCUUGUGGUGACGGUACCUGCAGAAGAAGCACCGGCUAACUACGUG